CCUACGGGUGGCUGCAGUGAGGAAUAUUGGUCAAUGGGCGCGAGCCUGAACCAGCCAAGUAGCGUGAAGGAUGACUGCCCUACGGGUUGUAAACUUCUUUUAUAAAGGAAUAAAGUGAGGCACGUGUGCCUUUUUGUAUGUACUUUAUGAAUAAGGAUCGGCUAACUCGGUGCCAGCAGCCGCGGUAAUACGGAGGAUCCCAGCGUUAUCCGGAUUUAUUGGGUUUAAAGGGAGCGUAGAGGGGUUGUUAAGUAAGUUGUGAAAGCUUGGGGCUCAACCGUAAAAUUGCAAUUGAUACUGGCAGUCUUGAGUACAGGAGAGGUAGGCGGAAUUCGUGGUGUAGCGGUGAAAUGCUUAGAUAUCACGAAGAACACCGAUUGCGAAGGCAGCUUACUAAACUGCCACUGACAUUGAGGCUCGAAAGUGUGGGUAUCAAACAGGAUUAGAUACCCGUGUAGUC
This 460-nucleotide ribosomal RNA is filed under the name uncultured bacterium. RNAcentral describes it as "partial 16S ribosomal RNA". It matches the Rfam family "Bacterial small subunit ribosomal RNA", at positions 338 to 795 of the family's 1533-position model. The record is from RNAcentral.